RNAcentral lists this ribosomal RNA (670 nucleotides) under Klebsiella quasipneumoniae subsp. similipneumoniae. Its description in RNAcentral is "partial 23S ribosomal RNA". It matches the Rfam family "Bacterial large subunit ribosomal RNA", at positions 1 to 705 of the family's 2925-position model. The record is from RNAcentral. Lineage: Bacteria; Pseudomonadati; Pseudomonadota; Gammaproteobacteria; Enterobacterales; Enterobacteriaceae.
GGGUUGUGAGGUUAAGCGACUAAGCGUACACGGUGGAUGCCCUGGCAGUCAGAGGCGAUGAAGGACGUGCUAAUCUGCGAAAAGCGUCGGUAAGGUGAUAUGAACCGUUAUAGCCGGCGAUGUCCGAAUGGGGAAACCCAGUGUGAUUCGUCACACUAUCGUUAACUGAAUACAUAGGUUAACGAGGCGAACCGGGGGAACUGAAACAUCUAAGUACCCCGAGGAAAAGAAAUCAACCGAGAUUCCCCCAGUAGCGGCGAGCGAACGGGGAGCAGCCCAGAGUCUGAAUCAGCUUGUGUGUUAGUGGAACGGUCUGGAAAGUCCGACGGUACAGGGUGAUAGUCCCGUACACCAAAAUGCACAGGCUGUGAACUCGAAGAGUAGGGCGGGACACGUGGUAUCCUGUCUGAAUAUGGGGGGACCAUCCUCCAAGGCUAAAUACUCCUGACUGACCGAUAGUGAACCAGUACCGUGAGGGAAAGGCGAAAAGAACCCCGGCGAGGGGAGUGAAAAAGAACCUGAAACCGUGUACGUACAAGCAGUGGGAGCACCUUUAUGGUGUGACUGCGUACCUUUUGUAUAAUGGGUCAGCGACUUAUAUUCUGUAGCAAGGUUAACCGUAUAGGGGAGCCGCAGGGAAACCGAGUCUUAACUGGGCGUUAAGUUGCAG